UGGGGAAUAUUGCACACUGGAGGGAACUCUGAUGCAGCGACGCCGCGUGAACGAAGAAGGCUUUCGAGUCGUAAAGUUCUUUUAUAUGGGAAGAUAAUGACGGUACCAUAAUAAAAAGCCCCGGCUAACUACGUGCCAGCAGCCGCGGUAAUACGUAGGGGGCUAGCGUUGUCCGGAAUCACUGGGCGUAAAGGGUUCGCAGGCGGAAAUGCAAGUCAGGUGUAAAAGGCAGUAGCUUAACUACUGUAAGCAUUUGAAACUGCAUAUCUUGAGAAGAGUAGAGGUAAGUGGAAUUGUUAGUGUAGCGGUGAAAUGCGUAGAUAUUAAAAAGAAUACCGGUGGCGAAGGCGACUUACUGGGCUCAUUCUGACGCUGAGGAACGAAAGCGUGGGUAGCAAACAGG
Molecule: ribosomal RNA, 403 nt
Filed under: bacterium
Lineage: Bacteria
Description: partial 16S ribosomal RNA
Rfam family: Bacterial small subunit ribosomal RNA
Source: RNAcentral